This 3020-nucleotide long non-coding RNA is filed under the name Homo sapiens (human). RNAcentral's name for it is "non-protein coding lnc-GPR156-1:1". Lineage: Eukaryota; Metazoa; Chordata; Mammalia; Primates; Hominidae. The record is from RNAcentral.
CUUUAUCCCUAGAAUCAAUUCUCUCAGCAUCACCAAACUGAAUUGGUGAAAUAGUGCUAAGAUUCUGGGCAAUAGGAAGAUUAGUGAAUAUGAUACAUUGAUUCCAGGGUGCCAGGGAUUGGCUGACAUUAAGGACCAGCUGGCUAUGGUCCUCAGGCUACGGUCCUCAGUAUUCUAGUAUUUGAGUAGUGGAGGUAAAUCCAAAGGCGACUGGUUAUAUUUUACUUCUAAAUGUGUGCUGAAGUGUCUCUUGUUCAAAAAUUCUUGAUAUUUAGAGCUUCAAGUUACCACAUUUAAAAGUAAAGACUUGGCACGGUGGCACACACCUAUAAUCUUAGCACUUUGGGAGGCCGAAGUGGAUGGAUCAUAUGCAGUCAGGAAUUUGAGACCAGCCUGGCCAACAUGGUGAAACCUCAUCUUUACUAAAAAUACAAAAAUUAGCCGGGCGUUGUGACGCACACCCAUAGUCCCAGCUAACUCCGGAGGCUAAGACAAGAGAAUCACUUGAACUUGGGAGACAGAGGUUGCAGUAAUCUGAGAUCACUCCGCUGCACUCCAGCCUGAGUGAGAGUGAGACUGUGUCUCAAACAAACAAACAAAAAACAAACAAAAAAAUUUGCAUUGUAAAUUGUACCUCAAAUUUGAGCAGUUUUUGUGUUUGUGUAAAUUAAAGUAAAAAGCAGUCCACAAUAAUGUUUUGUAAUACUGCACACCAGUUCUACCAGAUUUUGUAACUAUCAGAUUUAAAUGAAAAAAGAGAAGGAAGAGGCUGAUUGCUGGAGUGUUAAAGAAAUCUUGGCCGGGCGUGGUGGCUCACGCUUGUAAUCCCAGCACUUUGGGAGGCCGAGGCGGGUGGAUCACGAGGUCAGGAGAUCGAGACCAUCCUGGCUAACACGGUGAAACCCCGUCUCUACUAAAAAUACAAAAAAAAAUUAGCCGGGCGUGAUGGCGGGCGCCUGUAGUCCCAGCUACUCGGGAGGCUGAGGCAAGAGAAUGGCGUGAACCCGGGAGGCGGAGCUUGCAGUGAGCCGAGAUUGCGCCACUGCACUCCCGCCUGGGCCACAGAGCGAGACUCCGUCUCAAAAAAAAAAAAAAAAAAAAAAGAAAUCUUUAGAAGCCACAGGGCUAGAAGAGAAGUCACCAAACACCUAGGGACAGUCCUAGGCCUAGAAAGCCCUUUAAAGUAAUAGUGAAUUGUUUUAAAAUUAAGUUAUUGAGUGGCCUACUGACUACCAUCCAAAAACCUUUAUCACCAAAUUUGUUCAGUGUUUGCUAUUGGGAGAUUGUCCAUAUCCCUCCGUAAUUAAGGGCCAGCAAGUAAUACGAUCUUCUUACAGCCAACCUUGCUCUUCCCAAAGGGAGAAAGUAAUACAUCAUUAACCUGGAAUUUGUGAUAUAACAGGUAGCCUUGGUUAAUGUUUACCUUUUCACUAUGUAAAAAAGAAAAAACACACAGCAAAUAGUGCAAAUAAAAUUUGGUCUUUUAAAGCAUUUUAGCAGUAGCUAUGUAAAAAAAGUUAAUGGUUAUUAUUCCUAAAUUUUCAUAAGACCCUUGGUAGACAAAACUAUCGGUUAUAUUAUGUAUAUAUGAGGUUAGUUAAGCUGCAUUUAGUUAGGAACAUUUAAUUUUUACCUAAAUGAUCCUUUUUUCAUCCAGAGGUAGAGAUUUUAUUGUCAUUAUGAAUGUUACUCCCCAUUUAGUCCAAAAUAGUGAGCUUUUAAGUUGUGCCAGGUACUUAACAAUAGUAAAAGCUAUUGUAUAGAUUUUUAUUCAAUGUGACCUAUAAUACAUUUCUGAUUCCUUCUGUAUUGAAUGUCCCAGUUUCCAUAUUAAGUGCUAUGCCCUGUAUAACAUUAAUGAAUUUAAUAGUGUACAAUUUUGGGCCAGGCAUGGUGGCUCACGCCAGUAAUCCUGGCACUUUGGGAGGCAGAGGCAGGCAGAUCACCUGAGGUCAGGGGUUCGAGAUCAGCCUGGCCAACAUGGCAAAAUCACAUCUCUACUAAAAAUACAAAAAUUAGCCAGGCGUGGUGGUGCAUGCCUGUAGUCCCAGCUACUCAGGAGGCUGAGGCAGGAGAAUCGCUUGAACCCAGGAGGCGGAGGUUGCAGUGAGCCGAGAUCAUGCCAUUGCACUCCAGCCUGGGAGACAGAGCAAGACUCUAUCUCAAAAAUAAAAAUAAAAAAAAAAUUGCGUGCAAUUUUGUAUUUUCAUAGUCGUAUCUUUUUAAAGGUAUCAUGAUUUCAGUUGUGGUCAGGAAGUAUGUGCCUUAAAUCCUCUACUCUAGACCCAAAGUUUGGAGAGCUAUAUUAUUUAAUAAGUUGUUUGUGACAGCCUUGUUACCUUUUUCAUUUGAUUUGAGGGAGAAAGACUGUGAUCCUGACAGAUUCCUUCUCAUAAAAUGGCCUAAUGUGUAUCAGUCUAGGACUUCUGGGGAGGGAACCUCUACCAUGCAUUCUGUCCCAGGAUGUCAAAGUCAUAAGAAUCAGGGUCCCCUGAAAUAAAAUCACUGAAAAGAUAUGUUCUGUUAUAUAUUAUUUAAAAAAUUUAUCUGGUGCCACCAAAGAAUGACAGCAGUUUCUAACCAACUUCAUAUUUAUAGCAUCUUAUGAAGAUAUUGUAAGGCUUAGCAUAUUUUGCCACUGGUUUUCUUUGUAAUAUAGGUUGAAAGUGAGACAUGUUUGAAUACUUUUGUAUGUAAAUAUCUCCCAUUCUUUUUCUAUCUCUUCUUGGUCUAUAUUUACUAAGAAUUGAUAUUUAAAAAACAGUUCACUAAUGAACUCUACAUAUUAUUGAACACUCACAGGGCAAUAUUGAUUUGGGUGCUACUAGACUUUUACCUAACAUUAGUCUUUCUCAAUAGUUGUUGUAAAGGAUAGUAUUCAAUCCAGUAAAUAUUAAAGUGUAUUAGUUUAAUGAAGGUUAUUUAUAUACUGUCAUACCACAAACCUAUGGUGGAAAGAACAUCUGCAUUCACCAGAAUGUACUUGUUCCUUUGGCUGUGAAUAAAUUGGAUAAGACUUU